AAAGGUUUUCAUUGUAACUUUUUAAGCCAAUCUUUGUUAAGAGUUAGCUGAUUCUGUUUUAGCUUGAUAUAAGACAAGGUACAAUUUCUUAUUAAGGAGAUAAAACAAUAAUAACAAACAUAUUAUAUGAUUUUAUUUGAAUUCUCGUUGCCACUGUUGUAUCCAACAAACAAGUUAUGCAAAUUGGUUCAAACAGAAACAGAAACAUAUUGUCUGCACCUUGUUUUGAUUAACUAGUAGCUAAUUUAUUUAAGACGAGGCUUUUAAUUAUUCAUAUCUAAUCAUAUAUAGACCAAGAGAGAAUAUAGUAAGUGAUAAGAGUUGGUUUCUCAGAAAAGGAUGGAAUGUUAUCCAUGAGAAUUGAGAAGACCUCUAGAUAGCACAGCUUCUUUAAUGAGUUUGAGAGAUCCAAUGAUGUCAUGAAUUUGCUGGUGAGGAUCAGGAAUAGAGCUUUCAUCAACCAAUAGAACAAUGCUCAUCUUAUUUGGCAUAACUUUGGAAGUUAAUCAUCAAUGCCUACAAUAUUCAACAUAAGGUCAGGCAGGCAUGCAUUUAGAAGAUGACACUAUCAAUCAAGUGAAAUUAACAAGAAAAGUGCUAAAUUAUGUACGUGUGGUUGAUCGAAAGAACUUGGAGCUAUGUAAGCUAUUGGAUGACCAUAAAACCCGAUUUCCUCUUGAGGUCCAACUAGAUUGGAGAAGCACAUUGUCGUGUGAUAGAUAGUUCUGUGGGAUAGAGCACUGGCUGUCUUAAUGCCAAAAAGCUUAAAUAUAAUUUCAGCAAUGGAGAAAGUGUACAAUGCUUCAUAAGAAUGCUUCUUUCGAUCAACUGUGGCUUUGACUUUACGAACAUAAUCUAAAGGGUCAUCUCGGAUGGCAAUGGUGAAAGGGAGGAUGACAUAACCAAUCCAGUUCCCCCAUUUUGCUUCACCAUCCUUUUCCAUCAUAUCAGCUAAAGCCUGAAUUCCUGUGACUGGUCUUAUAUUGACGAGAAGAGUUGCUCUGAGCCUAAUAUUCUAUGGGAGAUUAUUUGUCAUUUGGGUUGGCUCCUCAUCAGCAUUCUUA
This 1064-nucleotide unclassified non-coding RNA is filed under the name Hevea brasiliensis (rubber tree). The record is from RNAcentral. Lineage: Eukaryota; Viridiplantae; Streptophyta; Magnoliopsida; Malpighiales; Euphorbiaceae.